CGUGCUUCAAGAUCAUCUGCACUGUCUGUAUGAAUGAAUGAUGAAUAAAUCUAUGGGAUUUUGAUGAUCAGGCUCUUCACAUAAGGGAAACCCCUCUGUCAGACCCCAAAAUCUCUGCAACUCUCUCACUGAAAAAGAAAAAGAGAAAUGAAGAGAAAGACUGGGUUAAAAAGGCUGAGAAAAAGAUACCCAUCUUUCCUCACUCGCUAUCCAUACCAUUUAUUAUCAUGUACAGCACUCAAAAUUAUUCAGAAAAAAUUUUUCCAAAAUUCAUAUGGGAUUUUUUUUUUUUUCUGAUUGAUGAGCAACUCAUAUACCUUUGCUUCUUUGUCUUUC
This 336-nucleotide unclassified non-coding RNA is filed under the name Hevea brasiliensis (rubber tree). The record is from RNAcentral. Lineage: Eukaryota; Viridiplantae; Streptophyta; Magnoliopsida; Malpighiales; Euphorbiaceae.